UACUUAGUGGCAGACGGGUGAGUAACAUGUGGGUAUCUACCCUUUGGCCUGGAAUAACACGAGGAAACUUGUGCUAAUACCGGAUAAGUCUUUACGGAGAAAGCUUUAUGCACCAUUGGAUGAGCCCGCACUUGAUUAGUUUGUUGGUAGGGUAAUGGCCUACCAAGACUAUGAUCAAUAGCUGAUUUGAGAGGAUGAUCAGCCACAUUGGGACUGAGACACGGCCCAAACUCCUACGGGAGGCAGCAGUGGGGAAUCUUGCACAAUGGAGGAAACUCUGAUGCAGCGAUGCCGCGUGAGUGAAGAAGGCCUUUGGGUUGUAAAGCUCUUUCGUCGGGGAAGAAAAUGACUGUACCCGAAUAAGAAGGUCCGGCUAACUUCGUGCCAGCAGCCGCGGUAAUACGAAGGGACCUAGCGUAGUUCGGAAUUACUGGGCUUAAAGAGUUCGUAGGUGGUUGAAAAAGUUGGUGGUGAAAUCCCAGAGCUUAACCCUGGAACUGCCAUCAAAACUUUUCAGCUAGAGUAUGAUAGAGGAAAGCAG
Molecule: ribosomal RNA, 541 nt
Filed under: uncultured Pelagibacterales bacterium
Lineage: Bacteria; Pseudomonadati; Pseudomonadota; Alphaproteobacteria; Candidatus Pelagibacterales
Description: bacterial SSU rRNA
Rfam family: Bacterial small subunit ribosomal RNA
Source: RNAcentral